CAGUAGCCGCGGGAAUACGAAGGGGGCUAGCGUUGUUCGGAUUUACUGGGCGUAAAGCGCACGUAUGCGGACAUUUAAGUCAGGGGUGAAAUCCCGGGGCUCAACCCCGGAACUGCCUUUGAUACUGGGUGUCUAGAGUAUGGAAGAGGUGAGUGGAAUUCCGAGUGUAGAGGUGAAAUUCGUAGAUAUUCGGAGGAACACCAGUGGCGAAGGCGGCUCACUGGUCCAUUACUGACGCUGAGGUGCGAAAGCGUGGGGAGCAAACAGGAUUAGAUACCCCAGUAGUCCCUGUCUCUUAUAC
This 301-nucleotide ribosomal RNA is filed under the name uncultured bacterium. RNAcentral describes it as "partial 16S ribosomal RNA". It matches the Rfam family "Bacterial small subunit ribosomal RNA", at positions 509 to 807 of the family's 1533-position model. The record is from RNAcentral.